RNAcentral lists this long non-coding RNA (897 nucleotides) under Coffea arabica (coffee). RNAcentral describes it as "long non-coding RNA (CARA_LNC004119)". The record is from RNAcentral. Lineage: Eukaryota; Viridiplantae; Streptophyta; Magnoliopsida; Gentianales; Rubiaceae.
CCCCAUUAAAAAUUGGUAUUGGUAAGGAUAGUCCAUUUCUUUAUGCAAAAUCAAUGCUUUAAUAUGAUUUUACUUCCCCCUUGCUAAACCCAAGCAGCAGGGGUAUCAUGCAAUGUACUCAGUUUCUCCUUUCAGUUGAAUUAAGAUCACAAGACAGGAAAGACAAGGAGAAUUAGCAUUCAUACACAUUAAGGCUAUGUGACACCUUGUAAUCUAUGAUUCAGCUAAAUUGGCCCAAAUACUCAAAAAGACCAUACAAGAACAUUAGCCUUCCUGCAUACAAGAUGGGAUCCACCAAGUGCAUCUCAACAAAGGACAGCUAAACUACUUUUUGAGAAAGUAAAUUUCCAAAUUGUAAAUCAAAGAUACAAGCAAGAGGCAUCAAUUAGUUCAAAGAUUUUAUAACCAAGAAGAUAAAGUAGAGAGAAUCCAUGAUGCCGGCCAAUGACUUGGAUGUAUAAUCUUCAUGCUAUCAAGGUAUUAUAUAAUCUGCAUGCUAGCAGGAUCACUGUUGCGUGGGAUGAACUAUCUUGUCCUAAGUUAAUGCUGAGAUGGCUUUUUAAUCAUCUUUCUUCUUUGAAAAAUCUGGAUGUGUAUACUACUGAUAUUUCUUUAUUUACAGAUUCAACAACAGAUAUCUGUUGGAAACAUUUUCUCUGUAUCACCAAAAUAUUUUAUCAUCAUAUUUUCGUACUCAUAUUGCAGGUCGAAAUUGACUAAGACUAUGGAUUCUUCUCUCUGGGAUCCACCAAUUUGUGAAGGUUGCUCUGCCUUGUUAUUUUUUUAGCUAAAUGAUUCAAGUUACUACUGGUGGUUGUUUAGACUGAAAAAAUUACUGGAACUCUGUAUAGAUUCGAAUUUUGCAAGAUGGAAAUUUUCUAUUUCACUAAAGCUGAC